AGUAAGGCAGCCAGCUCUGCCAAGGAGCUUGCUGGAGCAGCCGUGGAGCCCGGAGUGACUGGCUGCCAUCCCACGAAGCCAGCGCUCGAAAUACCUUCAAGUCCCAGGUGUGACUUUUCAGUGGGAAGAAAGUGCUGCAGUAAUGCUGCUGUGAAGCCAAAUAUUUCAUUCUGAUAUGGCAGAAGGUCUCCCUAAGCUGCCAGGUGAUCCAGGCAAGCUCAGACUUGCCUUCUUCCUGCCUCGCCUUUCCAGAGUUCCCGGAUUACUGCAGCAGCAGCUGUUGUGAGAAUAUAAGUUCUUGGCUUGAUAACAAGAUGGUGCUGAAGGCGAAGAAGGAAGCCCCUGCCCCUCCCAAAGCUGAAGCCACCGCAAGGCUUUGAAGGCCAAGAAGGUCGUGCUGGAAGGCAUCCACAGCUUCACAAAGAAGAAGAUCUGAAGGUCACCUAGCUUCUGCUGUCCCAAGACGCUGUGGCUCUGGAGGCAGCCCACAUACCCUUGGAAGAGCGCCCCAGGAGAAGCAAGCUUGACCACUAUGCUGUCGUCAAGUUCCCCUGACCACAGAGUCAGCCAUGAAAAAGAUCGAGCACAACUACAUGCUCGUGUUCAUUGCGGAUGUGAAAGCCAACGACAAGCACCACAUCAAACAAGCUGUAA
Octodon degus (degu) is the source of this 654-nucleotide long non-coding RNA. RefSeq lists it as uncharacterized. Lineage: Eukaryota; Metazoa; Chordata; Mammalia; Rodentia; Octodontidae. The record is from RefSeq and is a predicted model, not a curated record. The transcript is spliced from 4 exons.